GAUUUCUGGCUUGACGCGCCUGGCCCGCCUCGGUUACGAGUGUGAGUGCCGGUGCGCGUCUGCCAUCCUUCCAGAAAACGGUCUCACCCUUCACUGGGCUGGGGUCGCGAUCUGGAUCUAUUACUUUGAAAAAAUUAGAGUGUUUAAAGCAGGCGUUUGCUAUGAAUACAUUAGCAUGGAAUAAUAAUUUAGGACUUUGGUUCUAUUUUGUUGGUUUCUAGGACUGAAGUAAUGAUUGAUAGGGAUAGUUGGGGGUGCUAGUAUUCAGUGGCCAGAGGUGAAAUUCUUGGAUUCACUGAAGACUAACUUAUGCGAAAGCAUU
This 322-nucleotide ribosomal RNA is filed under the name uncultured Sandonidae. RNAcentral's name for it is "bacterial SSU rRNA". The stretch from base 82 to 322 matches the Rfam family "Eukaryotic small subunit ribosomal RNA", at positions 713 to 955 of the family's 1831-position model. The record is from RNAcentral. Lineage: Eukaryota; Cercozoa; Glissomonadida; Viridiraptoridae.